AACGAACGCUGGCGGCAUGCCUAACACAUGCAAGUCGAACGAGACCUUCGGGUCUAGUGGCGCACGGGUGCGUAACGCGUGGGAACCUGCCCUUAGAUUCGGAAUAACUCCCCGAAAGGGGUGCUAAUACCGGAUAAUGUCUUCGGACCAAAGAUUUAUCGCCUUUGGAUGGGCCCGCGUUGGAUUAGCUAGUUGGUAGGGUAAAAGCCUACCAAGGCGACGAUCCAUAGCUGGUCUGAGAGGAUGAUCAGCCACACUGGGACUGAGACACGGCCCAGACUCCUACGGGAGGCAGCAGUGGGGAAUAUUGGACAAUGGGCGAAAGCCUGAUCCAGCAAUGCCGCGUGAGUGAUGAAGGCCUUAGGGUUGUAAAGCUCUUUUACCCGGGAUGAUAAUGACAGUACCGGGAGAAUAAGCUCCGGCUAACUCCGU
This 432-nucleotide ribosomal RNA is filed under the name uncultured bacterium. RNAcentral's name for it is "partial 16S ribosomal RNA". It matches the Rfam family "Bacterial small subunit ribosomal RNA", at positions 29 to 506 of the family's 1533-position model. The record is from RNAcentral.